UCCGCGGCGGCGUCCUAUACAUGCAAGUCGAGCGGACAGAUGGGGAGCUUGCUCCCUGAUGUUAGCGGCGGACGGGUGAGUAACACGUGGGUAACCUGCCUGUAAGACUGGGAUAACUCCGGGAAACCGGGGCUAAUACCGGAUGCUUGAUUGAACCGCAUGGUUCAAUUAUAAAAGGUGGCUUUUAGCUACCACUUACAGAUGGACCCGCGGCGCAUUAGCUAGUUGGUGAGGUAACGGCUCACCAAGGCAACGAUGCGUAGCCGACCUGAAAGGGUGAUCGGCCACACUGGGACUGAAACACGGCCCAGACUCCUACGGGAGGCAGCAGUAGGGAAUCUUCCGCAAUGGACAAAAGUCUGACGGAGCAACGCCGCGUGAGUGAUGAAGGUUUUCGGAUCGUAAAACUCUGUUGUUAGGGAAGAACAAGUACCGUUCAAAUAGGGCGGUACCUUGACGGUACCUAACCAGAAAGCCACGGCUAACUACGUGCCAGCACCAGCGGUAAUACGUAGGUGGCAAGCGUUGUCCGGAAUUAUUGGGCGUAAAGCGCGCGCAGGCGGAUUCUUACGUCUGAUGUGAAAGCCCCCGGCUCAACCGGGGAGGGUCAUUGGAAACUGGGGAACUUAAGUGCAGAUAAGGAAGUGGAUUCCCUCGUGUAGCGGGGAAAAUCCACAAGAUGUGUA
RNAcentral lists this ribosomal RNA (686 nucleotides) under Bacillus haynesii. RNAcentral describes it as "bacterial SSU rRNA". It matches the Rfam family "Bacterial small subunit ribosomal RNA", at positions 36 to 702 of the family's 1533-position model. The record is from RNAcentral. Lineage: Bacteria; Bacillati; Bacillota; Bacilli; Caryophanales; Bacillaceae.